This 388-nucleotide ribosomal RNA is filed under the name uncultured bacterium. RNAcentral describes it as "bacterial SSU rRNA". It matches the Rfam family "Bacterial small subunit ribosomal RNA", at positions 28 to 416 of the family's 1533-position model. The record is from RNAcentral.
GAUGAACGCUGGCGGCAUGCUUUACACAUGCAAGUCGAACGGCAGCACGGGGGCAACCCUGGUGGCGAGUGGCGAACGGGUGAGUAACACAUCGGAACGUGUCCAGUUGUGGGGGAUAACCCAUCGAAAGGUGGGCUAAUACCGCAUGAGCUGGCAACAGGAAAGCGGGGGACCCGCAAGGGCCUUGUGCGAUUGGAGCGGCCGAUGUCCGAUUAGCUAGUUGGUGGGGUAAAGGCCUACCAAGGCUUCGAUCGGUAGCUGGUCUGAGAGGAUGAUCAGCCACACUGGGACUGAGACACGGCCCAGACUCCUACGGGAGGCAGCAGUGGGGAAUUUUGGACAAUGGGGGCAACCCUGAUCCAGCCAUGCCGCGUGAGUGAAGAAGGCC